Molecule: unclassified non-coding RNA, 395 nt
Filed under: fungal sp.
Lineage: Eukaryota; Fungi
Description: partial internal transcribed spacer region
Rfam family: Eukaryotic small subunit ribosomal RNA (bases 1-46)
Source: RNAcentral
AAGUCGUAACAAGGUUUCCGUAGGUGAACCUGCGGAAGGAUCAUUAACACGUAUCCAACGUUAACCCCCCCGUGCACCUUCAUUCUCUUGAUAAGAGUUAAACAACCUUCUUAUCAAGAGCACCAGCGUACCAUCAUUAGUUGGGAAAUUUGACUCUGGCAUUACAGACAGGGCAUCGGGGUUGAGUCUUGGGCGCAUUCGAAAGUAAUUUCCGGGUCGCCAGGGAAUUCCAAAGGCUUCCAGCUGGGAGUACCGGGUUAAUGCGUCGGGAUUUUGGCUCCCUUGAAUUGUAUUGCCAAUUACCUUCUCGCGAUUUUUGUCAUCAUAAACCACCCGAGCUCACACCCUUAAACGGGCCAGCCGAACAACUGUUAACAAUGGAUAUCUUGGCUCUC